GGAUUUGAUCUGUUGUUGCCACACGUGAAAGUGAAAUGAAUCCAGCAGAACACUGGUUGCAACGGAUUUCGCCUAUUGUGAGAGCGGUAUGCAGUGACACCUGCCUUGAAAACAAACUCUAUACUUGGGCCCACCUCGGAUGAGAUAUAACCUCUCGCUUUGUGCACUGGAAUAAAGGACAAGUUUCUUCAUCAUGGAUUGUCAAGAAAAUGAGUACCAGGACCAAUGGGGGCACUGUGUCACCUGCCAGCAGUGUGGCCCUGGACAGGAGCUCUCCAAGACUAGACAACCACAGUUCAGAGAGUGUGUGCAACUUGUUCAGUGACCGUGAAUGCCGAAGAAAUACAUUUGGAGUC
This is a long non-coding RNA of Microtus oregoni (creeping vole), 356 nucleotides long. RefSeq lists it as uncharacterized. The record is from RefSeq and is a predicted model, not a curated record. The transcript is spliced from 4 exons. NCBI's taxonomy places the organism in Eukaryota, Metazoa, Chordata, Mammalia, Rodentia, Cricetidae.